This 375-nucleotide ribosomal RNA is filed under the name uncultured bacterium. RNAcentral's name for it is "bacterial SSU rRNA". It matches the Rfam family "Bacterial small subunit ribosomal RNA", at positions 521 to 896 of the family's 1533-position model. The record is from RNAcentral.
UAAUACGAAGGGGGCUAGCGUUGUUCGGAAUUACUGGGCGUAAAGCGCGCGUAGGCGGUGAUCUUUGUCAGAGGUGAAAGCCCGGGGCUCAACUCCGGAAUUGCCUUUGAAACGGGAUCGCUUGAGUCCGAGAGAGGAUGGCGGAAUUCCUAGUGUAGAGGUGAAAUUCGUAGAUAUUAGGAAGAACACCGGUGGCGAAGGCGGCCAUCUGGCUCGGUACUGACGCUCAGGCGCGAAAGCGUGGGGAGCAAACAGGAUUAGAUACCCUGGUAGUCCACGCCGUAAACUAUGAAUGCUAGUUGUUAGGAAGUUUACUUCUUAGUGACGCAGCUAACGCGUUAAGCAUUCCGCCUGGGGAGUACGGUCGCAAGAUUA